GACGAACGCUGGCGGCGUGCCUAAUACAUGCAAGUUGAGCGCUGAAGGUUGGUACUUGUACCAACUGGAUGAGCAGCGAACGGGUGAGUAACGCGUGGGGAAUCUGCCUUUGAGCGGGGGACAACAUUUGGAAACGAAUGCUAAUACCGCAUAAAAACUUUAAACACAAGUUUUAAGUUUGAAAGAUGCAAUUGCAUCACUCAAAGAUGAUCCCGCGUUGUAUUAGCUAGUUGGUGAGGUAAAGGCUCACCAAGGCGAUGAUACAUAGCCGACCUGAGAGGGGGAUCGGCCACAUUGGGACGGAGACACGGCCCAAACUCCUACGGGAGGCAGCAGGAGGGAAUCUUCGGCAAUGGACGAAAGUCUGACCGAGCAACGCCGCGGGAGUGAAGAAGGGUUUCGGAUCGGAAAACUCUGUUGGUAGAGAAGAACGUUGGUGAGAGUGGAAAGCUCAUCAAGUGACGGUAACUACCCAGAAAGGGACGGCUAACUACGUG
Molecule: ribosomal RNA, 497 nt
Filed under: uncultured bacterium
Lineage: Bacteria
Description: partial 16S ribosomal RNA
Rfam family: Bacterial small subunit ribosomal RNA
Source: RNAcentral